This 402-nucleotide ribosomal RNA is filed under the name uncultured prokaryote. RNAcentral describes it as "bacterial SSU rRNA". It matches the Rfam family "Bacterial small subunit ribosomal RNA", at positions 355 to 774 of the family's 1533-position model. The record is from RNAcentral.
UAGGGAAUAUUGGUAAUCUGGGAAACCGGGAACCAGCAACGCCGCGUGCGCGAUGAAGGCCUUCGGGUUGUAAAGCGCUUUUUGAGAGGAUGAGGAAGGACAGUACUCUUAGAAUAAGCCUCGGCUAACUACGUGCCAGCAGCAGCGGUAAAACGUAGGAGGCGAGCGUUAUCCGGAUUUACUGGGCGUAAAGCGUGUGUAGGCGGGUUGAUAAGUUGGAUGUGAAAGCUCCUGGCUUAACGGGGAGAGGUCGUUCAAAACAAUCAGACUUGAGAGUUGUAGAGGGAGGUGGAAUUCCGCAUGUAGUGGUGAAAUGCGUAGAUAUGCGGAGGAACACCAGUGGCGAAAGCGGCCUCCUGGCCCAUUUCUGACGCUCAGACACGAAAGCUAAGGUAGCAAACG